Molecule: ribosomal RNA, 630 nt
Filed under: Triticum aestivum (bread wheat)
Lineage: Eukaryota; Viridiplantae; Streptophyta; Magnoliopsida; Poales; Poaceae
Description: partial small subunit ribosomal RNA
Source: RNAcentral
AUGACAGGCAUCAGCAAGAGAAACAGUCAAGAGUUGUGUUCAGCAAUUUCUCAUCUCAGCAGCCUGGAAUCAUUGUCACUGCACUCCGACGGAUGGAGGACAGGUUUAUCAGGCUGCUUGGAUGGGCUGUCCUCACCUCCAGAAAACCUGCAGAGCCUCAAGUUGAUAGGAAAUCUGGUUGAGCUGCCGGAGUGGAUCCAGGGCCUAAAAAAUCUCGUGAAGCUGAAGCUAGAGCGGUCGAGGAUAUGGGAGCAUGAUGCGGCCAUACAAGUCCUUGGGAAUCUACCAAACCUGGCCACCCUACGUCUAUUGAAACACUCGUUCGCUGGUGAAGAGGUCCAUUUCGGUUUCCAUCGGGAGGCAUUCCCGAGCCUGAAGGUGCUGCAGCUGGACUGGAUAGGAAACCUCAGGUCGGUGGGAUUUGAAGAUGGAGCAGCCCCUAAGCUUGAGUUGCUGCAGUUUUAUAAUGGCAUAUGGAGUCCUAGUAUUGGUUUGUUCUGUGGGUUAGCAUAUCUCCCAAGCCUAAAGGAACUUAUGCUGGAGAGAUCGGACUGGGCGCCUAAGUUUGUGUACGACCUGCAAGGCCAGCUGGCAGAGAAUGAAAACAAGCCCGUUCUGAAGAGUUGGAGU